This 181-nucleotide ribosomal RNA is filed under the name uncultured rumen bacterium. RNAcentral describes it as "partial 16S ribosomal RNA". It matches the Rfam family "Bacterial small subunit ribosomal RNA", at positions 340 to 524 of the family's 1533-position model. The record is from RNAcentral.
UACGGGAGGCAGCAGUGGGGGAUAUUGCACAAUGGGCGAAAGCCUGAUGCAGCGACGCCGCGUGAGUGAAGAAGUAUUUCGGUAUGUAAAGCUCUAUCAGCAGGGGAGAAAGGCCCGCAAGGGAGAUGACGGUACCUGACUAAGAAGCCCCGGCUAACUACGUGCCAGCAGCCGCGGUAAU